This is a long non-coding RNA of Neltuma alba, 486 nucleotides long. RefSeq lists it as uncharacterized. Lineage: Eukaryota; Viridiplantae; Streptophyta; Magnoliopsida; Fabales; Fabaceae. The transcript has 2 exons. The record is from RefSeq and is a predicted model, not a curated record.
AGUAGUCACCAACUCACGUGCUUUCACGUGGACAUCAAAUAUGAAGAGGAGGAAGAUGAAGAUAAGGGAGAAUUUAUGAUGCGUGGCUUGAUAGUGAUCAUAUGAGACGACUGGAAUCAUAAUGAAGGCUCCAAAUUUAGGGGGAAAUACAUAAUUUUUAAGUUAGGUUUGAUUAAAAAUUUGUAAUUUUAGUAAAAACACUGUGGAUGUUAUCCCAUCGGCAAAGAUAUCUUGAUAGUGGGGCCUGAUCACCCCAUGAUCACUGAAAUACAUGAAAUAUACUCUCCAUAUAUAGACGUUUGGUUAGAAUAAAAGAAAUGGAGAGUUGCAAUGAAAUCUCAAAUAUAAAAAAAUAUUGUUGGUAUUAUUUUCUUUUCUUGAAGUUUCAUUGUAAUUCUCUCUAAGAGAAAAUUUGACGAAAAAUAGUUCAUACAUAUCUGCAUUUAAAUAUUAUAACAUACUGACCUUCUCUCUAUUUAAUUUAAA